CAAGACAUGAAGUCAGGUUGGCAAACCCGCUGAAUUUAAGCAUAUAAGUAAGCGGAGGACAAGAAACUAAAUAGGAUUCCCUUAGUAAUGGCGAAUGAACAGGGAUGAGCUCAACUUGAUAAUUGUGGCUUCUGGCUUUGAAUUGUAAUCUCAAGAUGUAGUGCCAAGGAGGGCGUAGGUGUAAGCCUCUUGGAAAAGAGAAUCAUUGAGGGUGAGAAUCCUGUUUGUCACCUGCAGUCCCCCCUGUACGGCCUACCUUCUAAGAGUCACGUUCCUCGGGAUUGGAGCGCAAACUGGGUGGUAAAUUUCAUCUCAAGCUAAAUAUGGGUUCGAAACCGAUAGCAAACAAGUACCAUGAGGGAAAGAUGAAAAGGACUUUGAAAAGAGAGUUAAAAGUGCCUGAACUUGCUGAAAGGAAAGCGGAUGGAACCAGUGUUGCUCGGUGAGAUUGUUGCGUGCUAUGGUGAUGGCCUGCUGCAUCAGCGCAAGCGUUGCUGUGGGUUUUGAUCUUGUUGCGCGUGAUGCUUCUUGCCUUGUGUGUCAUCGUCGGUUCGGUGGUGAGGACAACCCUUGGGACAUGGUAACUCGCCUCUGGGUGUGUGAAUGUGCCUUGUGGAACUCACCUUCGAACUGCAAACCGAAUGUGCGGUUGCGCUGCCUUUGCCGUGUGUCGCUGCCUCUCGGCGGCUGGCGUGCGCGCGAGGCACCUUCUGCACACAGCUAUGGUGACUAAA
Molecule: ribosomal RNA, 734 nt
Filed under: Lepidodinium chlorophorum
Lineage: Eukaryota; Dinophyceae; Gymnodiniales; Gymnodiniaceae
Description: LSU rRNA
Rfam family: Eukaryotic large subunit ribosomal RNA
Source: RNAcentral